This 309-nucleotide ribosomal RNA is filed under the name uncultured bacterium. Its description in RNAcentral is "partial 16S ribosomal RNA". It matches the Rfam family "Bacterial small subunit ribosomal RNA", at positions 504 to 808 of the family's 1533-position model. The record is from RNAcentral.
AGAGACAGCAGCAGCCGCGGGAAUACGUAGGUCCCGAGCGUUGUCCGGAUUUAUUGGGCGUAAAGCGAGCGCAGGCGGUUAGAUAAGUCUGAAGUUAAAGGCUGUGGCUUAACCAUAGUACGCUUUGGAAACUGUUUAACUUGAGUGCAGAAGGGGAGAGUGGAAUUCCAUGUGUAGCGGUGAAAUGCGUUGAUAUAUGGAGGAACACCGGUGGCGGAAGCGGCUCUCUGGUCUGUAACUGACGCUGAGGCUCGGAAGCGUGGGGAGCAAACAGGAUUAGAGACCCGCGUAGUCCCUGUCUCUUAUACC